Oryzias latipes (Japanese medaka) is the source of this 2399-nucleotide non-coding RNA. NCBI's taxonomy places the organism in Eukaryota, Metazoa, Chordata, Actinopteri, Beloniformes, Adrianichthyidae. The record is from RefSeq and is a predicted model, not a curated record.
GAAUGCUUUUGUGUUGAGUGAUUGGUUGAUGUGAUUUGCACUUCAGGGCCACCGUAAGCUAGCCUAGUGUGCAUCACGAUGGAUGACAUUGAGGCGAAGUAGUCGCUUUUUCUGUUCUCCCUGGAUGAUCCGACUGGAUUAUUUCAACGCACUCAAUGUUUUGCAAGAGAAACAACAGGCCUGCAACGUUUUUUCUUUUUUUGAUUUUGGGGUUCCGGUACCGUGAGUAAACUAAACUGUGUGUGUGUAUGUGCGUGUGAGCGUGCGCGCGUGCACGAGAUCUAAGGUUCCUAACGGUUCAAACUGUUAAUGUUCUACAGUUGUUACUUGUGUGCAGUGACUUUGUUAACUAAGGAGUAUUUUUUUUAUUGUUGAAGCAAAAAUUCAAUAAACAAUCACGGCGUGUCUUUCAAUGACAACAACAAAAUGAUAAGAUAAAGGUAGACACGAAAACAAAUAUACAAAAAAAAUAAUAAAUAAAAAAAUAUAAGUAAAAAUAAGUGGCUAUUAUUACACAAGCUUAAAUAGAUCAAAUAAAUUGCACAAUGUAUAGAUUUAAAGAAUAAUUUGAGACGGUCCAAUAAUGCAUUAAUGUGAUGUUUCACCUUUAAGAAUGUACAAGUAUGUAUAAAAUGUUUAGAAAUCAUAAUGAGUACAUUAACCAGAAAAUCCACAUUUUUCUCAAUAAAUUGUUAUCGAAUUUUAAUUGUAAUCCAAUUUAAAGGGUUAAUGAUGAUUUUUUAUUUUUAUUUGAGUCAAUUAUCAAAGGAAGACCAAAAGGUUUUUUUCAUGCAAACAUUCAAAGAAAAUAUGUUCCACAGUUUCUAGAUUAAUUCCACAAAAGACACAAAGAUCUCUAUAACAGUUAAAGCGGGUAUGUAGAAAAUGAUUGGAAGGGUAAAUAUCAUUCAAUAUUUUAAAGGUCACUUCUCUAGCUUUGUGAGGGAUAGGAUAUGACAGAAUGUUCGUAUCCUUCUAGCUUCUGUGGUGCUGUAAUUCUGCAAAAUACAUUUUCUUUUUAACGGGGAAGGAUAAUAUGAAUUAUUUAAAAUUUCUCAAAUAAAUUUGUUAGUUAGGGUCAGCGUCGCUCAAAGUCUAACAGGAAGUCAGAACCGAAGGAGCAUCAGACUUUGAAUGCCCAUAAGCAACUACUUUGUACAACUACAGGACACCUGGCCAUACAGAGCAUGGCACAUUCUGACUGCUAAUCUGGACCCCCACCCCCAGCUGACAACGUGCCACAACAUGAGAUGGAUGUGGAGAAGUGAAGAUGAUCAAAGAGUAUGACGAUGUCAGCCGAGAAGCAGUGAAAGAGGACUGAACUAAUCGCUUCAAGAUUGUCUUGGUCCUUCCCAAUGAAACACAGGACAACCAAGACCCAGCGUUUUUCUACACAGAGAGCAAUCAAACACAGGCAGCUGCCCCCCAGAAACAUCAAACUCCAGGCGCCUGGAGGAGCCACAAGUGGCUCGACAAACAUCAAAUCCCAGGCGCCUGGAGGAGCCACAAGUGGCUCGACAAACAUCAAAUCCCAGGCGCCUGGAGGAGCCACAAGUGGCUCCACAAACAUCAAAUCCCAGGCGCCUGGAGGAGCCACAAGUGGCUCGACAAACAUCAAAUCCCAGGCGCCUGGAGGAGCCACAAGUGGCUCCACAAACAUCAAAUCCCAGGCGCCUGGAAGAGCCACAAGUGGCGUCCCAGCUCUCUGUUCAACUUACUUACACGACCUAUCGUGAGGAGCCGCCGAACAAUCCCAUCCGUCCGGCUACAACAGCCACGGGGGUCAGAGGGCUGGUGAUAACUUGUUUGGCGGGGGCUGCCAUAGCAUCAGCAUUCCUCUUUGUCAAAUGGUACCGGCAGGUGCCAUAAAAAUUGGUUAUAAUGAUUACUUUAUUUUUUUUAAAUUUCAUUAAAAACGUUCAUAAAAUCUUGAUACUGGACUCUUCACAUUUCUCCGCUCUGAUUUACCUUUUGAUCCUUCCCGGGAAGGGAAGAACACCGGCCGAGAGCCGAGAGAGAGCCGGCAGAUUUAAGGGUCUAGCAGUGGUCAGUCAUCUUCUGUUAUUAAAAUUGAUGCCUGAUUCCUUUUAUUUUGUCUCUAGGUUGGGAUCCGCCCACCGAGGCUGGAAGAUGUGAUCUGUUGUCUUCUGCUUGGGGCGACAUACGUAAUUUUAUGGCAUUUUCUGCGCCACUCUUAAGCAAUUUGUUUUUAUUUAUUUAAUUUUUUGAUGUUUCCAUGUUUCCAUUUUUUUAAUUUCUAACUUUUUAUCAGCAAUAAAAUUCGUUCUCUUAUUCAUUGAUACAUUCUUCAUAUCCGUUUUGUCCCUUUCGGGGUUACGGGCUGCCGGAGCCUAUCCAACCACUUGUGGGCAAAGGCUAAGGACACCCUGGACGCUAGU